Sceloporus undulatus (fence lizard) is the source of this 2109-nucleotide long non-coding RNA. RefSeq lists it as uncharacterized. Lineage: Eukaryota; Metazoa; Chordata; Lepidosauria; Squamata; Phrynosomatidae. The record is from RefSeq and is a predicted model, not a curated record. The transcript has 5 exons.
GUCACGUUGACCGAUUGCAUGGUGGGGUUGUGUUAGAGGGAGGUUUCCAUGCUGUGGAGCGGACUGACUGGGCUGGACGAGGAGCAGUUCUGGUUAAAGUUGUCCUAUAGGGAUUCAUACACUCCUUUACCAAGUGGCAAGUUACCAUCGUGUGCAUAUCACCACUUGGCCAAGAGUCAAUGAUCUGAAUUGUCCUAACAUGCUGUGAAGAUCUUCAUACUUCCGCACCUGAAGUCGAGGGAAGCAGGAGAGAAGUGAACAUCUUGUUAGGCAAUGCAAGACAACAGAGACCAUCCAGUUUGCAUGCAAACUGUGCAUUCUUUACUUCUCCUGCUGACAGCUGAGUCAAUGUCUCAGGGUGGCACUGGUGAGGAAUCAACCAUAACCAGGAUUUCAAAAAGGAAAUUCAUCUGUGGGCAUGGUUUCUGUUUAUUGUUUGGUUUCAAGGAAGCUGGCAGUACCAUCAGACUUGAUUGACAACCAAGCCAUGGCCCCAAUGUGGCAAGCUGACCUCUUGGGAAAAAACAUGGUGCUGUGUGGAUGAAAACGUAAGACAGGACAUGGUUUGCAGCCACCGGCACAUGUAGCAAAAAGCCUGUUUGGGAGAAUGCAAAAUGUGGAUGGUGGAAGCAGAGAUGAGUGGGGAGGGCUUGCUUUCAUGCUGAAAGAAAGACAAGGCAAGAAACGCUCCCUCCCUCCAACCCCCAGAAACUACAGUGACUUCAGAAAAAGCAAAAACAGCACAAACAGACAGUGAACGAUGCCUCUCAUCACAGCCUCGGGAUAGAGAAGAGAAGAAAGACCCCAUGCAUUGUUGCAACAGUACGGACCCUGACGGCGAUGUUCCUAAGAGAUUGGAUCCUUCAAAGGAAUUUGAAACUAUGUGAACCUGUCAGAUCCAUACUUGGAUUCUGGUUGAGGAUCUUACUAUCAUGCUGGAUUUUCUGACCAACUUUCUGAGUACGUUAUUCUGAGUAUGUGGUCGUUCUGGAUUUUAGAUCUACAUUCUUCCUUAAGUGACCCAAAAGUUUGGCAAGACCUACUACAAGUACCCUUUCCAGAAGGAAACAAUCCUAUAAAAUGGACACUGACGAAUAGCAAGUAUGUUAAAUGCUUCUCUGUAUGACUCCUUGAUGGACAUUAUGGAAAAUAAUGAAGGAUAAACUAAAAUAGCUAAAGGUUAGUUGGUAGGUUCCUUUCUUACUCCCCUACUUUACUUUGGUGGUAAGGGUUUCUGGAAAGGCAGAUUGUAUUUGGUAGCUGCAUGUGUUGCUACAGUCCCCAUGAGUAAGCAGAAAGCAGCAGUGAUGGGAUGGGGGUGGGUGAAGAGAGAAUAAGGGAAGGAAAUUGGAAGCAGGGGAGCAUUUUUUUUGCUGGUUUAUUGUUUGUUUUGUAUCUUUCUUUCUUUUUUUAACACCACAGGCAAUUCCCGGCUGACAUCGAGAUGGCUCCAUCCAUGGUAUCUUGCCAGCUGCAAAGGGAAAGAAUAGGGGAGGGACAGUUGGAUGGGGAAAGUGCAAGGGACAGGGGCUAAGAGAGGGAAUUCAUUUCAGGCUCCAGUGAGAAAAAGGUUUUCAAUAAGCUAGUAAAUGUGGGCCAGAAGCCAGAAAUGUGUCUGUGCCCAAAUGCAAACUAAAGGUACAUAUUUGCUCUUUCUUUGGUUUUUAGUGUGUCUCUGUUUUGUAUACAGCAAGAACAUUUGAUCCUCCAGGUAUUUUGGUCUACAGCUCAUACACUUCAGAAAAUAUGCAGGAGUGGCUGUGUUGGGGGUGGGUUGUUAGGCAAUGGAUUCUGUGUUUUAACAUGUAAGCCGCCCAGGUUGUGUUGCACAGAAAGGCGGGCUAUAAAUAAAUAAUUAUUAUUAUUGCUAUUAUUGGCCAUUUAGAAAAUUAAACGAAGUAGCCAGUGGAGCUUUGAAAGCUUGCAACAAGUAUACUGUGCAUUUCAGUUGGCCAAUAAAGGUAUCACUGUUUGGUGGAUUUUUGUUUGAACUCAUACACUUGUAAGCCAAUAAACUCAAGGGCCAAUACCCAGGAACCAGCCUAGCGUAAUGGUUUGGAUGUUCAACUAGGAGUUUGGAGACCAGGAUCCGAAUCCCUACUUGGUCAG